GAAGGGCCGAAGCAGGCCCUACGGCUUCCACGGGAGUCGGACAGGAGAGGAAGGGGAAAGCGGAGCGGGAGCCGGCGUGCGGGCUGCGGGAGCGAGAAGCAGCGGCAGGGAACGCGCACGGGCUGUGUAGGUGCCCUUCUGGCCUGAGAGGCAGCCGCAGGCACGUUGAGUUGAGAAGCCAGGUGUGAAUUACGGCGGGGGAGAGGAGUAGUGAGGCAGGUUGCCAUGGCUCGGCUGAUGGAAGGUGGAAUGAGAAGAGUAUGAGCUGCAAGAAGGCUGCACCACUCACCAGGGUACCAGAGGUCUUUCAAGAGUCAUUUGCGGUGUUUCAGUUCAGCAAGUUUGAACUGUAUUUUCCUCCUUUCUG
Molecule: long non-coding RNA, 367 nt
Filed under: Gallus gallus (chicken)
Lineage: Eukaryota; Metazoa; Chordata; Aves; Galliformes; Phasianidae
Description: long non-coding RNA NONGGAT006952
Source: RNAcentral